RNAcentral lists this ribosomal RNA (478 nucleotides) under Nosema sp. Its description in RNAcentral is "SSU rRNA". It matches the Rfam family "Microsporidia small subunit ribosomal RNA", at positions 34 to 510 of the family's 1311-position model. Lineage: Eukaryota; Fungi; Microsporidia; Nosematidae. The record is from RNAcentral.
UUCCUAAGAUUCACCCAUGCAUGUUUUUGACAUUUGAAAAAUGGACUGCUCAGUAAUACUCACUUUAUUUUAUGUAAAUUUUUAAUUAACUACGUUAAAGUGUAGAUAAGAUGUUUACAGUAAGAGUGAGACCUAUCAGCUAGUUGUUAAGGUAAUGGCUUAACAAGGCUGUGACGGGUAACGGUAUUACUUUGUAAUAUUCCGGAGAAGGAGCCUGAGAGACGGCUACUAAGUCUAAGGAUUGCAGCAGGGGCGAAACUUGACCUAUGGAUUUUAUYUGAGGCAGUUAUGGGAAGUAAUAUUAUAUUGUUUCAUAUUUUAAAAGUAUAUGAGGUGAUUAAUUGGAGGGCAAAUCAAGUGCCAGCAGCCGCGGUAAUACUUGUUCCAAGAGUGUGUAUGAUGAUUGAUGCAGUUAAAAAGUCCGUAGUUUAUUUUUUUAAAAAGCAAUAUAAGGGGUACGGAUGGUUGGGGAGGGAGA